This is a long non-coding RNA of Pseudoliparis swirei, 363 nucleotides long. RefSeq lists it as uncharacterized. The record is from RefSeq and is a predicted model, not a curated record. NCBI's taxonomy places the organism in Eukaryota, Metazoa, Chordata, Actinopteri, Perciformes, Liparidae. The transcript has 4 exons.
UGCUGGGUGAUGGUAGCGGUGGCGGGGAUGAUGUCGUACUUCAGCCCGGAGAGAGCCCUCGGAGCCCCGCAGAGGGAAGAUGGUUCACUCCCCACAAUCGACUACGUUGAGUUUCUCAGACCAGAGCUGCCUCCCUCUCUCCUCCACCCUAUGUCGUCAUCCUCAUCUCUUGCUCUGGGCUCGUCUCCUUUGUCCUGCUGCUCCUGACCUGCCUGUGCUGUAAGAGAGGAGUGGGGUUCAAUGAGUUUGACAAUGCAGACGCGGAGGAAUGCUCCGGAGGCUCCAGUCCCAUCCAGGAGGACAGCCUGUCGUCAGGCGCCUCCCUCCCUGAGGUCUACACCCUGCCAGUCCGAGAGAGGCCCA